UCGAACGGCAGCGCGGACUUCGGUCUGGCGGCGAGUGGCGAACGGGUGAGUAAUACAUCGGAACGUACCCUGUUGUGGGGGAUAACUAGUCGAAAGAUUAGCUAAUACCGCAUACGACCUGAGGGUGAAAGCGGGGGACCGAAAGGCCUCGCGCAGCAGGAGCGGCCGAUGUCUGAUUAGCUAGUUGGUGGGGUAAAGGCCCACCAAGGCGACGAUCAGUAGCUGGUCUGAGAGGACGAUCAGCCACACUGGGACUGAGACACGGCCCAGACUCCUACGGGAGGCAGCAGUGGGGAAUUUUGGACAAUGGGGGCAACCCUGAUCCAGCAAUGCCGCGUGUGUGAAGAAGGCCUUCGGGUUGUAAAGCACUUUUGUCCGGAAAGAAAUUGCUCUGGCUAAUACCUGGGGUAGAUGACGGUACCGGAAGAAUAAGCACCGGCUAACUACGUGCC
Molecule: ribosomal RNA, 452 nt
Filed under: Cupriavidus pauculus
Lineage: Bacteria; Pseudomonadati; Pseudomonadota; Betaproteobacteria; Burkholderiales; Burkholderiaceae
Description: bacterial SSU rRNA
Rfam family: Bacterial small subunit ribosomal RNA
Source: RNAcentral